Molecule: ribosomal RNA, 481 nt
Filed under: uncultured bacterium
Lineage: Bacteria
Description: partial 16S ribosomal RNA
Rfam family: Bacterial small subunit ribosomal RNA
Source: RNAcentral
GAUGAACGCUGGCGGCGUGCUUAACACAUGCAAGUCGAACGAAGCACUCGAUUUUAGUUCCUUCGGGACUGAUUAUGUUGUGACUGAUUGGCGUACGGGUGAGUAACGCGUGGGUAACCUGCCUUGUACAGGGGGAUAACAGUCGGAAACGGCUGCUAAUACCGCAUAAGCGGACAGCAUCGCAUGAUGCAGUUGGUAAAGCACCGGCGUUAUAAGAUGGACCCGCGUUGGAUUAGCUAGUUGGUGAGGUAACGGCCCGCCAAGGCGACGAUCCAUAGCCGAUCUGAGAGGGUGACCGGCCACAUUGGGACUGAGACACGGCCCAGACUCCUACGGGAGGCAGCAGUGGGGAAUAUUGCACAAUGGGCGAAAGCCUGAUGCAGCAACGCCGCGUGAGCGAAGAAGUAUUUAGGUAUGUAAAGCUCUAUUAGCCGGGAAGAUAAUGACAGUACCGGACGAAGAAGCACCGGCUAACUACGUG